GACGAACGCUGGCGGCGUGCCUAAUACAUGCAAGUAGGACGCAGAUGCGAACGGGUGAGUAACGAGUAGGUAACUGCCUAUUAGAGGGGGCUAACUAUUGUAAACGAUAGCUAAUACCGCCUACUAGUCGAAGGACCUGUGUUGUAUUAGCUAGUAGGUAGGGUAAUGGCCUACCUAGGCAACGAUACAUAGCCGACCUGGGGAGGGGGGCGGCCAAACUGGGACUGGGGAACGGCCCAGACUCCUACGGGGAGCAGCCGGAGGGGAACUUCGGCAAUGGGGGGAACCCUUACCGAGCAACGCCGCGGGGGUGAAGAAAGUUUUCGGAUCGUAAAGCUCUGUUGUUAAGGAAGCGGUACUUAACCAGAAAGGGACGGCUAACUACGUGCCAGCCGCCGCGGUAAUUC
Molecule: ribosomal RNA, 407 nt
Filed under: uncultured bacterium
Lineage: Bacteria
Description: partial 16S ribosomal RNA
Rfam family: Bacterial small subunit ribosomal RNA
Source: RNAcentral